AGAGUUUGAUCCUGGCUCAGAUUGAACGCUGGCGGCAUGCCUUACACAUGCAAGUCGAACGGCAGCACGGAGCUUGCUCUGGUGGCGAGUGGCGAACGGGUGAGUAAUAUAUCGGAACGUACCCUAGAGUGGGGGAUAACGUAGCGAAAGUUACGCUAAUACCGCAUACGAUCUAAGGAUGAAAGUGGGGGAUCGCAAGACCUCAUGCUCGUGGAGCGGCCGAUAUCUGAUUAGCUAGUUGGUAGGGUAAAAGCCUACCAAGGCAUCGAUCAGUAGCUGGUCUGAGAGGACGACCAGCCACACUGGAACUGAGACACGGUCCAGACUCCUACGGGAGGCAGCAGUGGGGAAUUUUGGACAAUGGGCGAAAGCCUGAUCCAGCAAUGCCGCGUGAGUGAAGAAGGCCUUCGGGCUGUAAAGCUCUUUUGUCAGGGAAGAAACGGUGAGAGCUAAUAUCUUUUGCUAAUGACGGUACCUGAAGAAUAAGCACCGGCUAACUACGUGCCAGCAGCCGCGGUAAUACGUAGGGUGCAAGCGUUAAUCGGAAUUACUGGGCGUAAAGCGUGCGCAGGCGGUUUUGUAAGUCUGAUGUGAAAUCCCCGGGCUCAACCUGGGAAUUGCAUUGGAGACUGCAAGGCUAGAAUCUGGCAGAGGGGGGUAGAAUUCCACGUGUAGCAGUGAAAUGCGUAGAUAUGUGGAGGAACACCGAUGGCGAAGGCAGCCCCCUGGGUCAAGAUUGACGCUCAUGCACGAAAGCGUGGGGAGCAAACAGGAUUAGAUACCCUGGUAGUCCACGCCCUAAACGAUGUCUACUAGUUGUCGGGUCUUAAUUGACUUGGUAACGCAGCUAACGCGUGAAGUAGACCGCCUGGGGAGUACGGUCGCAAGAUUAAAACUCAAAGGAAUUAACGGGGACCCGCACAGCGGUGGAUGAUGUGGAUUAAUUCGAUGCAACGCGAAAACCUUACCUACCCUUGACAUGGG
Molecule: ribosomal RNA, 984 nt
Filed under: uncultured bacterium
Lineage: Bacteria
Description: bacterial SSU rRNA
Rfam family: Bacterial small subunit ribosomal RNA
Source: RNAcentral